This 44-nucleotide unclassified non-coding RNA is filed under the name Trypanosoma brucei. The record is from RNAcentral. Lineage: Eukaryota; Euglenozoa; Kinetoplastea; Trypanosomatida; Trypanosomatidae.
ACAAAAUAACAAUGAUCACAAAUAAGAGUGAAUGUAGAUAGAGA